CCCGGGUAGUCCUAGGUGUAAACGCUGUGGACUUGGUGUUGGGGAUUCUCCGAGGAUUCUCAGUGUCGAAGCGAAGGUGAUAAGUCCACUGCCUGGGGAGUACGGUCGCAAGGCUGAAACUUAAAGGAAUUGGCGGGGGAGCACUGCAACCUGAGGAUUGUGCGGUUUAAUUGGAUUCAACGCCGGAAAACUCACCAUAGCCGACGGACAAAUGAAAGCCAGUGUAACGAGCUUGCUGGAUUGUUCGAGAGGUAUUGCAUGGCCGCCGUCAGUUCGUACCGCAAGGCGUUCUGUUAAGUCAGAUAACGAACGAGACCCUCAUCCCUAUUUGCCAACUGCGUCUCCGGAUCGUAGCGCACUAUAGGGAGACCGCUGGCGCUAAGUCAGAUGAAGGCGAGGGCAACGGUAGGUCAGUAUGAUCCGAAUGCUAUGGGCUACACGCGCAAUACAAAGGACGGGACAAUGGGCUGCAACUCCGAGAGGAACGACGCUAUCCCGAAACCCGUUCGUAGUUCGGAUUGAGGGCUGUAAUUCGCCCUCAUGAAGCUGGAUUAGGUAGUAAUCGCGUCUCAAUAGGGCGCGGUGAAUAUGCCCCUGCUCCUUGCACACACCGCCCGUCAAACCAUCUUAGUUGGGGGUGGGUGAGGCUACCCAUGAAUGGGGUAUUCGAGCCUGCCUUCGACAAGGAGGGUUAAGUCGUAACAAGGUAUCUGUAGGGGAACCUGCAGAUG
RNAcentral lists this ribosomal RNA (731 nucleotides) under metagenome. Its description in RNAcentral is "bacterial SSU rRNA". It matches the Rfam family "Archaeal small subunit ribosomal RNA", at positions 736 to 1467 of the family's 1478-position model. The record is from RNAcentral.